Long non-coding RNA from Gallus gallus (chicken), 1663 nucleotides. The record is from Ensembl. Lineage: Eukaryota; Metazoa; Chordata; Aves; Galliformes; Phasianidae.
GAUUGCAAUCUGGUCUCUAAAUUGACAAUUUAAUCUAGCUGUUUUUCAUAACUGUCUUGCUGAUGCCAUGAUACACAGUAAAUGUCCUUGCAUACUAACUAGCAGGUCAUUUUAAAAGAAAAACAUUAAAGUGAAGGAGAAAUUGACAAAAAAAAAAAAUAGAUAAACAACUAUGCUUAUUCUACUGCUGCUAUCCCCUCCUCAUUCAAGCUGAAACUCAUCUGCAGUUCAGAUAGAGCAUUAAAAUUUAAGACAAAGUCACUCAUAACGAGAUCAUGAUUAACAAAGAACGCGAAAAAUAACAAAUCCAGAUGUACUCAAACCAGUCUGGUAGGCUCAUCCAUGCUACCUCAAACUUAGUGCUGCUCUUCCUAGAAGCAGUUUAUGAGCAUCUUUCAUUUCCCCAUUUCAAGAAAUAGCUUAAAAGCAAUUUCCGCUGCUUAAUAGAGACUGAGUACUUGAUCAAAUCACAGGUACAAGGAACUGAGGUUCUGCAUUUAUCUGCAGGCUUGCUAUAGGCCAAUAAUUCACAUCUCUAUGUCAUAUAAAUGUGCCUGAGCUGUGCUACAGUGGAGAGCUGUCAUGGUUUUGUAACUUUGCUAUUGGUAUUCCACAUCAUAACAUCCUGGACAAAUGACAAGAGCCUACAGUGAGCCAUAGCACGUCCACACUGCAAUAAGAAUUUAGCUUAGUCAAAGAAAGCCUAGUCCUUUACAGAUAUUUUUUUCUCCAAGGUCUUUGUACACAUAAAGUUUCAGAACAGGCUUACAGUGUAGGAUAGUGAAGAUUUUGUGAAGGUCUGAAAGUAGAUUAUGUUCACCUCCUCUACCCAUCAGCAGUACAGUAUUGAAAGACAAAUAAAAGAUCAAAAGCAGAGAGAGUUCAGUUGCUGCAUGGUCUCCUCCAAUCUCAUCAUCAAUGCUAUGUACAGACCAAUGUUAAGAAUUAUAAACCUAAUUGUAAAGAAUAGAAAUUGAAAAAUAUUAAGCACCCCUUAAGGUAUUUCACAGGUAAGAAUGGAAGAAACUAGCCCCAAAUCACCUGCACAAAAUUACAUAGUGAGUCUGUGGUAGAUGUAGAACAGCAACUACAAAUUUCAGACUUUCAAAAUGGCUCUAACAUACAUUUCAUUUAGGAGCUUUUUUUUUUUUUUUCACUGGCACUUGAAAAUUGUAUCAAACUCUCUGAAGAUUCAAAUAUGGAAAGAUAUAUUCUCUCCAUUCUUUUCAAAUUCUAUAACUAAGGCCAGUUUUAUAAAAAACUUGAAGUUCAGCUGUCUGUGAACACUAUUCUACCAACAAAAGUGAAUAUACCCAAAUGCAUUAUUCGGGAAUAUAAGAAGAAAUGUCUUUUUAAAUUUAAAGAUCAAAUUAUGUUGCCUACAUACGAAGUAAAUUAAGCUAUUUAGGAAUAUACAGCAUGUAUCUAAACUGAAAUUUUCUGAUCUUCUUUAAAGGACGAAGGUACCUUUGUGGUAUACAAUUUAAAUUAUAAAUAUGAUCCAAGAGAAAGUACUAUUAUUGUAUUAAUAAAUAUUUUACAAUCUCCAUGGCAGCUCUUGUCAUCUUACUUCUGUCUCAAAUUUGCAAGUACUUGCACAUUGCAGCACUGCUGAAAUGGUUGUCCAACAAAUAUAUUUACAGCAUAGGUGGCUGUAGAGUUU